UUGAACGCUGGCGGCAGGCCUAACACAUGCAAGUCGAACGGUAACAGGAAACAGCUUGCUGUUUCGCUGACGAGUGGCGGACGGGUGAGUAAUGUCUGGGAAACUGCCUGAUGGAGGGGGAUAACUACUGGAAACGGUAGCUAAUACCGCAUAACGUCGCAAGACCAAAGAGGGGGACCUUCGGGCCUCUUGCCAUCGGAUGUGCCCAGAUGGGAUUAGCUAGUAGGUGGGGUAACGGCUCACCUAGGCGACGAUCCCUAGCUGGUCUGAGAGGAUGACCAGCCACACUGGAACUGAGACACGGUCCAGACUCCUACGGGAGGCAGCAGUGGGGAAUAUUGCACAAUGGGCGCAAGCCUGAUGCAGCCAUGCCGCGUGUAUGAAGAAGGCCUUCGGGUUGUAAAGUACUUUCAGCGGGGAGGAAGGGAGUAAAGUUAAUACCUU
RNAcentral lists this ribosomal RNA (444 nucleotides) under uncultured bacterium. Its description in RNAcentral is "bacterial SSU rRNA". It matches the Rfam family "Bacterial small subunit ribosomal RNA", at positions 30 to 469 of the family's 1533-position model. The record is from RNAcentral.